RNAcentral lists this transfer RNA (73 nucleotides) under Gnatholebias hoignei. RNAcentral's name for it is "tRNA-Trp". The record is from RNAcentral. Lineage: Eukaryota; Metazoa; Chordata; Actinopteri; Cyprinodontiformes; Rivulidae.
AGAGAUUUAGGCUUAAUGAAUUAAACCCAGAACCUUCAAAGUUCUAAAAGAAAGUGAAAACCUUUCAAUCCCU